RNAcentral lists this ribosomal RNA (497 nucleotides) under uncultured bacterium. RNAcentral's name for it is "partial 16S ribosomal RNA". It matches the Rfam family "Bacterial small subunit ribosomal RNA", at positions 28 to 507 of the family's 1533-position model. The record is from RNAcentral.
GAUGAACGCUGGCGGCGUGCCUAAUACAUGCAAGUCGAGCGAACAGACGAGGAGCUUGCUCCUCUGACGUUAGCGGCGGACGGGUGAGUGACACGUGGAUAACCUACCUAUAAGACUGGGAUAACUUCGGGAAACCGGAGCUAAUACCGGAUAAUAUAUUGAACCGCAUGGUUCAAUAGUGAAAGACGGUUUUGCUGUCACUUAUAGAUGGAUCCGCGCCGCAUUAGCUAGUUGGUAAGGUAACGGCUUACCAAGGCGACGAUGCGUAGCCGACCUGAGAGGGUGAUCGGCCACACUGGAACUGAGACACGGUCCAGACUCCUACGGGAGGCAGCAGUAGGGAAUCUUCCGCAAUGGGCGAAAGCCUGGCGGAGCAACGCCGCGUGAGUGAUGAAGGUCUUCGGAUCGUAAAACUCUGUUAUUAGGGAAGAACAAAUGUGUAAGUAACUAUGCACGUCUUGACGGUACCUAAUCAGAAAGCCACGGCUAACUACGUG